AAGAGAGACUGACCCAGUAAAAACUGCUAACUUUGCCUGUUGAAGUUAAACUCUUCAACUCUCUUU
Molecule: transfer RNA, 66 nt
Filed under: Caecilia gracilis (graceful caecilian)
Lineage: Eukaryota; Metazoa; Chordata; Amphibia; Gymnophiona; Caeciliidae
Description: tRNA-Ser
Source: RNAcentral